CCUACGGGAGGCAGCAGUGGGGAAUAUUGGGCAAUGGAGGAAACUCUGACCCAGCGACGCCGCGUGCGGGAUGAAGGCCUUCGGGUUGUAAACCGCUUUCAGUAGGGAAGAAGCGAAAGUGACGGUACCUACAAAAGAAGCACCGGCUAACUAUGUGCCAGCAGCCGCGGUAAUACAUAGGGUGCAAGCGUUGUCCGGAAUUAUUGGGCGUAAAGAGCUCGUAGGUCGUUUGUUACGUCGGAUGUGAAAACCUGAGGCUCAACCUCAGGCCUGCAUUCGAUACGGGCAAACUAGAGUUUGGUAGGGGAGACUGGAAUUCCUGGUGUAGCGGUGGAAUGCGCAGAUAUCAGGAGGAACACCAAUGGCGAAGGCAGGUCUCUGGGCCAAUACUGACACUGAGGAGCGAAAGUCUGGGGAGCGAACAGGAUUAGAUACCCUGGUAGUCCAGACCGUAAACGGUGGGCACUAGUUGUGGGAACCUUCCACGGUUUCUGCGACGCAGCUAACGCAUUAAGUGCCCCGCCUGGGGAGUACGAUCGCAAGAUUAAAACUCAAAGGAAUUGACGG
Molecule: ribosomal RNA, 567 nt
Filed under: uncultured bacterium
Lineage: Bacteria
Also listed under: 1 other name
Description: bacterial SSU rRNA
Rfam family: Bacterial small subunit ribosomal RNA
Source: RNAcentral